This 254-nucleotide ribosomal RNA is filed under the name uncultured bacterium. RNAcentral describes it as "partial 16S ribosomal RNA". It matches the Rfam family "Bacterial small subunit ribosomal RNA", at positions 524 to 776 of the family's 1533-position model. The record is from RNAcentral.
UACGGGGGGAGCAAGCGUUGUUCGGAUUUACUGGGCGUAAAGGGCGCGUAGGCGGUCGUGACAAGUCACUUGUGAAAUCUCCGGGCUUAACUCGGAACGGUCAAGUGAUACUGUCGGACUAGAGUACAGAAGGGGCAACUGGAAUUCUCGGUGUAGCGGUGAAAUGCGUAGAUAUCGAGAGGAACACCUGCGGCGAAGGCGGCGCUCUGGGCCGGUACUGACGCUGAGGUGCGAAAGCGUGGGGAGCAAACAGG